Molecule: ribosomal RNA, 300 nt
Filed under: Triticum aestivum (bread wheat)
Lineage: Eukaryota; Viridiplantae; Streptophyta; Magnoliopsida; Poales; Poaceae
Description: partial small subunit ribosomal RNA
Source: RNAcentral
AUGGUAUUUCCCAUGAAGAAUUCAAUAGAUAUCUUCGAAGAGCAUCAAAAUGUUGAUGUUGAUCAUGACACAUUUGUCAAGAGAAUUCAUGAAGAUGUAAUCAAUCAGCGACGACAUCAAGUCAAAGGAAUGAUGAAGCAAGAGGUUAUUGGAACCACAGUUACGACACGAACUCGAACUCAAGCUUGUUGUUUAAGGCGAAAUGAUAUGACGAUGAGGAUCGACGUAAGGUUAGUUCAUCGUCGAAAAUUGCGCUCCGAGAAGAAGGGCCGGGUAGCACAGUUAAAAUCAUCACGAUAA